UUCCGGUUGAUCCUGCCGGACCCCACUGCUAUCGAGGUGGGACUAAGCCAUGCUAGUUGAGCGCACAGAACUAUGUCUGUGAGCGGCACACUGCUCAGUAACACGUAGCUAACCUACCCUUAGGACGUGGACAACCCCGAGAAAUUGGGGCUAAUCCGCGAUAGAUGUAUUGUCCUGGAAUGGUAUUACGUCUAAAGGUAUCCCAUACAUGUUUGGUAUACGCCUAAGGAUGGGGCUGCGGCCGAUCAGGCUGUUGGUGAGGUAAUGGCUCACCAAACCUUUGACCGGUACGGGCCGUGAGAGUGGUAGCCCGGAGAUGGACACUGAGACAAGGGUCCAGGCCCUACGGGGCGCAGCAGGCGCGAAACCUCCUCAAUGCACUUACGUGCGAAGGGGCUACCUCGAGUGCCACCUGAUGAAGGUGGCUUUUCCUAGGUCUAAAAAGCCUUGGGAAUAAGAGGGGGGCAAGACUGGUGUCAGCCGCCGCGGUAACACCAGCCCCUCGAGUGGUGGGGAUGAUUAUUGGGCCUAAAGCGUCCGUAGCCUGCCGUGUAAGUUUCCCGUUGAAUCCAGCGUCUUAAGCGUUGGACCGCGGGAAAUACUGUACGGCUAGAGAGUGGGAGAGGUCAGCGGUAUUCUGGGGGUAGGGGCGAAAUCCUUUGAUCCCCGGAGGACCACCAGUGGCGAAGGCUGCUGUCUAGAACACGUCUGACGGUCAGGGACGAAAGCUGGGGUAGCGAACCGGAUUAGAUACCCGAGUAGUCCCAGCCGUAAACGAUGCAUGCUAGGUGUUGGGUUGGCCACGAGCCACCCCAGUGCCGCAGGGAAGCCGUUAAGCAUGCCGCCUGGGAAGUACGAUCGCAAGGUUGAAACUUAAAGGAAUUGGCGGGGGAGCACCACCAGGCGUGAAGCCUGCGGUUUAAUUGGAGUCAACGCCGGG
RNAcentral lists this ribosomal RNA (940 nucleotides) under uncultured archaeon. RNAcentral's name for it is "bacterial SSU rRNA". It matches the Rfam family "Archaeal small subunit ribosomal RNA", at positions 1 to 922 of the family's 1478-position model. The record is from RNAcentral.